Molecule: transfer RNA, 71 nt
Filed under: Bos taurus (domestic cattle)
Lineage: Eukaryota; Metazoa; Chordata; Mammalia; Artiodactyla; Bovidae
Also listed under: 1 other name
Rfam family: tRNA
About the family: Transfer RNA (tRNA) molecules are approximately 80 nucleotides in length. Their secondary structure includes four short double-helical elements and three loops (D, anti-codon, and T loops). Further hydrogen bonds mediate the characteristic L-shaped molecular structure. tRNAs have two regions of fundamental functional importance: the anti-codon, which is responsible for specific mRNA codon recognition, and the 3' end, to which the tRNAs corresponding amino acid is attached (by aminoacyl-tRNA synthetases). tRNAs cope with the degeneracy of the genetic code in two manners: having more than one tRNA (with a specific anti-codon) for a particular amino acid; and 'wobble' base-pairing, i.e. permitting non-standard base-pairing at the 3rd anti-codon position.
Source: Rfam by way of RNAcentral
UCUAAGGUGGCUCAGUGGGUAAAGAACCUGCCUGCAAUGCAGGAGACGUGGGUUUCAUCCCUCAGUUGGAA